AGUGGUUGUGGUGCAUGGGCUCCGUUGCUCCAUGGCUUGUGGGAUCUUCCCAGAUCAGGGAUCAAACCCAUGUCUCCUGCACUGGCAGGAGGAUUCUUUACCACGGAGCCACCAGGGAAGCCUGGAUUCCUCACUUUGGGGUCGUCUUUUGGUUUACUCCUUAUGGAAAAGGGGAAAAAGAGCUUUGUCUUUCCCCAGAGCAGUUUCAUGAUCUUCUGUGACAGCCUGAUUCUUACUGCCUCAACAUGGCAAGUGCUCAUCCAAGUUUCUCAAGAGACCUAUUGAUUCCUACAAUGGAGAAAGAAAUGGCAGCCCACUCCAGUGUUCUUGCCUGGAGAAUUCUUUGGACGGAAGGGCCUGGUGGGCUGCAGUCCAUGAGGUCGCAGAGAGUCAGACAUGACUGAGCCACUGACACACACUGAUUCCUACAAAGGAGGAGCAGGCUUGUGAAGCUGAUUCCCUGUGGUUGAUGAAGUCUCAGUAAAGCUGCUGGUGCCAUAAAAGAUUAUCUUUGGUUACUUACCCAAGUGAGGAAGCCUCUUCUGCUAGCUGCAUUCUUUUGUAUAUAUCCAGGAAGAUCCCACAUGCUGAGGGGCAACUAAACUGUGUAUCACAACUCCUGAGCCCAUGUGCCACAACUCCUGAUGCGAACUCUAAAGCCUGUGCUCUGCAACAGGAGAAGCCACUGCGAUGAGAAGCCCAUACUCUGCAACUAGUAGCCUUCCGCUUGCUGUAACUAAAGAAAGUCUCCAUGCAGCAAGAAAGACCCAGCACAGCCAAAAAUAAAAGAUAUGGGCAUCACAAGAUGCGGAUGGUUGCAAGAACUGUGGCAAGGUUAACGUAAGCUUCACUCUGCCUUCGGAAUUCCAUCUUGUGUUACACAGAUCUGUGAAGUUGCCUGUGGAGACUUAGGAAACUUGGAACAUUUUCAGUUUCACUUGAAAAAUGUGCUACUAUUCUUCAAUCCAUUGACCUAUGGAGGAAAGUAGUGAUGAAUGGAGAGGCAAGAUGAAUGAGAGGAGUGCCUCCCACCCACUGUGUGUGGGCAUCUGUCUGGACCUACACGUAGCCUCUACUAGAAGGCCAAGUGGAGCUGAUGGAAACAUACUAAUGCUCACGGUGCUUACUGUGCCAUGAGUCCCACAUCUCUAACCAGAUACCGCAUGUCUUCUGCUAGCAUCCAUGAAAAUGGUAGCAGGGUAACAAGUUAAAAUCAAAUCUCAAACCUAACAGAAAAGGAAUAAAAGUUUGCUGAAAUGUGUCAAAAAGUACUUGAACCUUUACUGAAGCACUUUUUUUUUUUUUUUCCCUCUGUCUUUCAUAAAG
Molecule: long non-coding RNA, 1326 nt
Organism: Bos taurus (domestic cattle)
Lineage: Eukaryota; Metazoa; Chordata; Mammalia; Artiodactyla; Bovidae
Source: Ensembl